GCCGGGUGUGUAAGCGCAGCGAUGCGUUGAGCUAACCGGUACUAAUGAACCGUGAGGCUUAACCUUACAACGCCGAAGC
Molecule: ribosomal RNA, 79 nt
Filed under: Escherichia coli
Lineage: Bacteria; Pseudomonadati; Pseudomonadota; Gammaproteobacteria; Enterobacterales; Enterobacteriaceae
Also listed under: 1 other name
Description: partial 23S ribosomal RNA
Source: RNAcentral